ACCCUAUUUCAGAAUAGAAUCUGGAAACUCCUCCCACUCCAGUACGCAGGCGAAUUGUGAAUUGAUCACUUCUCUUAAUCCACCAGCCACAAAGGCAUUUCAAGGACCAUGCUGAUUGAGGAUUAUUAGGAUGAUGGACAUUCGACUGGGUCACACCUACCGCAGUAUCCCUGUUGGCUUUGUAGAGGAAUGAGCUUGAUAUCGCUCCACUUGCAUUUCAAGGACCAUGCUGAUUGAGGAUUAUUAGGAUGAUGGACAUUCGACUGGGUCACACCUACCGCAGUAUCCCUGUUGGCUUUGUAGAGGAAUG
Molecule: long non-coding RNA, 310 nt
Organism: Homalodisca vitripennis (glassy-winged sharpshooter)
Lineage: Eukaryota; Metazoa; Arthropoda; Insecta; Hemiptera; Cicadellidae
Exons: 3
Source: RefSeq, a predicted model, not a curated record